This 253-nucleotide ribosomal RNA is filed under the name uncultured bacterium. Its description in RNAcentral is "partial 16S ribosomal RNA". It matches the Rfam family "Bacterial small subunit ribosomal RNA", at positions 524 to 776 of the family's 1533-position model. RNAcentral also lists the same sequence under 1 other name. The record is from RNAcentral.
UACAGAGGGUGCGAGCGUUAAUCGGAAUUACUGGGCGUAAAGCGCGCGUAGGCGGCUUUGCAAGUCGGGUGUGAAAUCCCCAAGCUUAACUUGGGAACUGCAUUCGAGACUGCAUUGCUAGAGUAUGGGAGAGGGAAGUGGAAUUUCCGGUGUAGCGGUGAAAUGCGUAGAUAUCGGAAGGAACAUCAGUGGCGAAAGCGACUUCCUGGACCAAUACUGACGCUCAUGUGCGAAAGCGUGGGGAGCAAACAGG